Molecule: long non-coding RNA, 536 nt
Organism: Daucus carota subsp. sativus
Lineage: Eukaryota; Viridiplantae; Streptophyta; Magnoliopsida; Apiales; Apiaceae
Exons: 3
Source: RefSeq, a predicted model, not a curated record
CUCCACAUAUUAUCUCCAGCUCUCUCUCUCGCGCUGUCUCUCCAACAAACCAUAUAUAUAAACACAGCCUCUUUGUCAUCUUGUCACAGAUCUAUACAAUAUAAUCUAGUUUUGACAUUUGAGUAGUAUGAAGAACACGAGGUCUGUGUUUCAGCUGCUGCUUGUGAUGUUCCUCUGCUUAUCUUCUCUUGUAUGCUCCACUUCUGCAGUUCCCACGUCCAGAGUCCUCAAGUCCUUUAAGGCUAUCCCUGCACUCCAAGAUUUUCAAACUCAGGAAGCCAUAGAGAAAGAGAUGUUAGUGGUGGAAGGGAGAAUGGAUUUUGAAAGCGCCGACUAUCCUGGGACUGGAGCCAACAAUCGUCAUGACCCUAAGACGCCAGGCACUGUUUGAUCAUUACGUGCUUCAAUCCAAGAUGAAGAUUAAUACUCGUACUUGUUAUAUAGAAUUGUAUCACUCAUGUUCUCUUUUUCUUUGUUACUUGUAAAAAGCAAAGAUAAAUGAUGUUUAGCUUGCAUUAAGUACUUGAUUUCGUGUA